Molecule: long non-coding RNA, 2828 nt
Filed under: Bos grunniens (domestic yak)
Lineage: Eukaryota; Metazoa; Chordata; Mammalia; Artiodactyla; Bovidae
Description: lncRNA (ENSBGRG00000014756.1)
Source: RNAcentral
ACUGGAGUGGGUUGCCAUUUCCUUCUGCAGGGGAUCUUCUCAACCCAGGGAUCGAACCUGGGUCCCCCGCAUUGCGUGCGGAUUGUUUACCAUCUGAGCCAUAGCCUGGGUAGAGGAAGGGGAGGUAAACAGUACUUGAGGCUGAAGGGUGUCUCAGCUCACAGGAUAAAAAUCCCUUUUUUCUCGGCCCCAGUUUGCUCACCUGUAGACAACCACAUUUCCGAGGUUCCCGCCAGCCUUGACAUUCUGGGAUCCUGCUCGGGAUCGGGGUGUGGGGCGGAUGAACUGACUGUCCUCACUCCAGAGAUGCUCCAGGGCCCACUUCCUGGAUCUUUUAGCUGUCACCCCUCUGAGGGCUUACCUGUGGCUCAGGCGGUAAAGAAUCUGCUUGCCAUGCGGGGAAACCCAGGUUUGACCCCUGGGUCUGGGAGAUCCCCUGGAGAAGGAAAUGGCAAUCCACUCCAGUAUUCUCGCCUAGAGAAUCCCAUGGACAGAGGAUCCUAGUGGGCUACAGUUGGUGGGGUUGUGAAGAGUCCGACAUGACUGACACUUUCACUUUUCCUCUGAUGAGCUCAGGGAGAUCAUGACCCCAUUCGCAUCCCCUUCCUAAGCUAAGGUCAGUGACGUCGUCUGGGGAGGUGAUUUCCACUCCAGUCCGGGCCCUUGGCUUCCUUCUGUCAGCAGUUUUGCCUCUAGCUGUGUGAGGGUCCCGUAAAGCUCUUCUAGGUCUCAGCUCUGAUUCCUGUCAGGAUGUAUUUGGGUGCCUGCUCACGCUUUUAUGCAAGUCACCAGGGUGUUCCUACUAUUGCUGCAAGAGGGGGGUCUGUGUCAUAGAGGAUUUGGGGCUAGUGUCUCAGCCUCUGGUUUUUUUUACCGAACUUGCAAGCCCGUGUGCUGGACACACAGUGAGGCCCAUCAAUACCAAACAUUAGAGUUUGGAACAGAGAAAGGCUUAUUACAGAUUUGUACAAGGAGAUGGGUGGCUCCUGCCCUGAGAACCCCAAAGUUACUGAAAGCUUUCAGCAAGUCUCUUUAAAAGCAAAAAGUGAGGGAUGGGUGUGGUUAGUUGCAGACUUAGUGUCAGAUCUUUUGUUCUUGAGAGCUGGUCAUGGUCAGGUAACAUUCCUAUAAAUCUCUACCAGAUGAAUGCUAUUCUCUGUUCUGACAAGAAAGGGCAAAACUCAAGGUACAAUUUUCACCCUCCCAGGUCCCAGACCUGACUAAGAGAAGGCAGAUCUCAGUUGGCAGCUCCUUCAGGGCCAGGUUCCACACCCUGCCCAGCUGUCUGAGGGAGCCAGGCAUUCAACCCAACUGGCCCCCAGUCUCCUCAGGCGGCCCAAAGGGGGAGACCAGGUCUCAAAGACUAUGACCAGACAGGUGGUCACUGCUAUUAGGUCACAGAGGGGAGAGGUUCACCGCUGCCUCAAGGCCUGGAACGAGGCUGAUGGAGGGCCUUGGUAAGGGCUCUGGAGCCCCUCAGGACACAGCCCCCAGUCUGUUCCCUGAGCCCUCCUGCUCACCCUCUGGCCCAACAAGGAUGGGUAAGCUGAAGGGCCUCCGGGAGAAGGCCUGAAUCGCCCUCUUAGCUCACUCCCCACCUGAUGGGCACCACAGCACUGACCCUUGACUGAAUCACUUCCCCAGUGGUCCCUCACCGACAGUUACCAGUGGGCAGGUAACCAAUAGCUGAGCAGGACAGCUAAUGGUGUGGCUCACUGCCGGUUGGAUGCUUGUGGGCGGGGCCCACUGAGGCACCACGCAAUGGCUGAGCAAGACCUGUUGCCUAGUAACAGGGUGCAGAGUAAUGAGGCCCAGCAAGGGCUGCCUGCCAAGGGCCGUGCUCAUCCUGCUCUGUUAGUUUGACUGAGCCCAUCCCUGGCCAGUGCGACAAGGGCUAUCAAGAUUUUUGUAACAGAGCUUAGCCAUUAUUGUGUGUGCCCUUAACCUGUGCCCCGUUGCCAGGCAACGGUUAUGGUGGGCGGGGCCAUUAGUGGUCCUGCUCAGCCAUUGGUGGGGAGUCCUGCUCCCCCAUUGCUACAGUGGGCCCCUCCCACAAGCAACCAACAGCAAAUGAACCACCGACCGUUAGUGGGCCGUUCAGCCAACUGUUGGUAGAGUGGUGGUGGUCAGGUAAAGAGUGAGGCGAGCUGGGGCACCCCGGGAACAGGCUGGGGGCUGUGUCCAGCAGGGCUCCAGAGCCUUCACCAAGGCCACUGACAGGACCCAGGCCUUGAGGCAGUGCUGAACCUCACCCCCUUCCCCGCCUCUGUGAUCUAAAGGCAGCAGCAGUCUUUAUAGGAUGCCCCCGCCAUCUGGGCAGCCUGAGGACCAGCUGAGCCAUGGGCACAGUCUCCCUCAGCGAUAAUGGCAGGCAUGGUCUGGAUACCCGGCCCUGAGGGAGCCAACUGGGAUCGGCCUGUUCAGCCAGGACCUCGGACCUGAGAGGGUGAAAGCUGCCUCUGGGGACCGUGCCCUUUCUUGUCAGAACAGAGGAUAACAUUUGUUAGAGGUUUACAGAAAUACGUUUACCUGAGUGUGACCUGACUUCGGAGCACAAAGGAUCUGACACCAAGACGUUUGUAACAACUCACCUGGCCCCUCCCUCACCUUUCCUAGAAAAGGGCUUUGCUGAGGGCUUUCGGGGAGUUUGGGCUUUUUAAGGCAUGAGCCACUUGUCUCCUUGUGGGACCCUCAAUAAAAUCUUUCUCUGUUCCAAACUCUAACAUCUUGGUAUUGUUUGGCUUCACUGCGUUGAACACAUCAACUUGUGUUUCGGUAACAAUUUUUCUGUUUCUGAAGGUAAAGGAGUCACCUCCUGGUAGACACAA